AUGCCCGGUUCUUGCAACGACAUUAACGUGCUCGACCGGUCACCUCUCUUUGCCAACUUAGCAAAUGGAGAAGCACCACCGGUGACCUUCGAAGCAAAUGGCCGCACCUACAACUAUGGGUACUAUCUUGCAGAUGGGAUCUACCCGAGGUGGAGUACAUUCGUCAAGCCGGUUGCAAAAUCUGAAGGUAAGAAAGAACCUGUCUUUCAUAAUGCACAAGCGGCGGCUAGAAAAGAUGUUGAGAGGGCAUUUGGGAUUUUGCAAUCCCAAUUUGCUAUUGUGCGAGGACCAUCUAGAUUUCGGGAUCAAAAGAUCCUUUGGUACAUCAUGACCGCUUGCGUGAUCAUGCAUAACAUAAUCAUUGAGAACGAGCAUGGAAAACAUUUACAUUGCAACUUCUAUCACUUGAUGGGCAUUCCUAUUAACCCCAUGCGAAAAGAACAGCGCAUCAAACGUUUCAUGAAGGUGUACAGCGAGAUUAGAGACAGCGAUGUGCAUGACCAACUCCAGAAAGAUUUGAUGGAAGAGCAUUGGAAAUGGCAUGGCGAAAGAUCCGCAUAG
Molecule: ribosomal RNA, 561 nt
Filed under: Triticum aestivum (bread wheat)
Lineage: Eukaryota; Viridiplantae; Streptophyta; Magnoliopsida; Poales; Poaceae
Description: partial small subunit ribosomal RNA
Source: RNAcentral